RNAcentral lists this long non-coding RNA (616 nucleotides) under Betta splendens (Siamese fighting fish). RNAcentral describes it as "lncRNA (ENSBSLG00000015494.1)". The record is from RNAcentral. Lineage: Eukaryota; Metazoa; Chordata; Actinopteri; Anabantiformes; Osphronemidae.
GGAUUUAGGUGAACAGCUUAAAUAGAUUUUACAGCGACACAAUGUUUUAUAUAAAAGGAAAAUAGUAACAAGCAAAUAAAAUAAAUAAAUAAAUUGUUUGGCUGUGUUAAAUCAGUGUAUUUAUAUUAUGCGUCACACACAGUAAAUACGUAAAAUCCCUGACGGGAAACGUUUACGUUUUGCAUUACCGAUCAAAACGCAGCGCACCAACUCAAUGCAGCUCACUUGUCCGAGGUUAAUUAAAUCAGCGCAGCCAACAGGUGCAUGCUGGGCGCAAGCUAGUCGCCCAUGGCUAACCCUACUGUGGGUAGCUAGCUAGGUAGCUAGCCAGGUAGCUAGCUAGUGCCCUGGUCAGCCUUUAAAUGUUUGUUUUUUAUUACAACUGGGCAGCGUCAUGAUGCACCUUGGGAUCAAAAUCGUUGUUCGAUGCCCAUCCUUGGUUAUAUGCGCGAUGCCAGCAGACCUCAUGGAAACCACAGGAAUGUUCCUCCAAACCCACAGACUGCUCCGAACUGCAACCCAGACUAGUUGCGGGAUGAGACCAUCCACAGCCUCCAACCAAAUGUGCUGCUUUCUCAUCAGGCCCAUGCCUCCCAGACCACGCAGAAGGAGGUGA